GUGUCAGCAGCCGCGGUAAUACAUAGGGUGCAAGCGUUGUCCGGAAUUAUUGGGCGUAAAGAGCUCGUAGGUGGUUAGAUACGUCGGAUGUGAAAAUCAGGGGCUCAACCCCUGACCUGCAUUCGAUACGGUCUAGCUAGAGUGUGGUAGGGGAGACUGGAAUUCCUGGUGUAGCGGUGGAAUGCGCAGAUAUCAGGAGGAACACCGAUGGCGAAGGCAGGUCUCUGGGCCAUUACUGACACUGAGGAGCGAAAGCGUGGGGAGCGAACAGGAUUAGAUACCCCCGUAGUCC
This 292-nucleotide ribosomal RNA is filed under the name uncultured Sporichthyaceae bacterium. Its description in RNAcentral is "partial 16S ribosomal RNA". It matches the Rfam family "Bacterial small subunit ribosomal RNA", at positions 505 to 796 of the family's 1533-position model. The record is from RNAcentral. Lineage: Bacteria; Bacillati; Actinomycetota; Actinomycetes; Sporichthyales; Sporichthyaceae.